Molecule: ribosomal RNA, 807 nt
Filed under: uncultured bacterium
Lineage: Bacteria
Description: bacterial SSU rRNA
Rfam family: Bacterial small subunit ribosomal RNA
Source: RNAcentral
AGAGUUUGAUCCUGGCUCAGGACGAACGCUAGCUAUAGGCUUAACACAUGCAAGUCGAGGGGCAGCAUGGUCUUAGCUUGCUAAGGCCGAUGGCGACCGGCGCACGGGUGAGUAACACGUAUCCAACCUGCCGUCUACUCUUGGACAGCCUUCUGAAAGGAAGAUUAAUACAAGAUGGCAUCAUGAGUCCGCAUGUUCACAUGAUUAAAGGUAUUCCGGUAGACGAUGGGGAUGCGUUCCAUUAGAUAGUAGGCGGGGUAACGGCCCACCUAGUCUUCGAUGGAUAGGGGUUCUGAGAGGAAGGUCCCCCACAUUGGAACUGAGACACGGUCCAAACUCCUACGGGAGGCAGCAGUGAGGAAUAUUGGUCAAUGGGCGAGAGCCUGAACCAGCCAAGUAGCGUGAAGGAUGACUGCCCUAUGGGUUGUAAACUUCUUUUAUAAAGGAAUAAAGUCGGGUAUGGAUACCCGUUUGCAUGUACUUUAUGAAUAAGGAUCGGCUAACUCCGUGCCAGCAGCCGCGGUAAUACGGAGGAUCCGAGCGUUAUCCGGAUUUAUUGGGUUUAAAGGGAGCGUAGGCGGGUUGUUAAGUCAGUUGUGAAAGUUUGCGGCUCAACCGUAAAAUUGCAGUUGAUACUGGCGACCUUGAGUGCAACAGAGGUAGGCGGAAUUCGUGGUGUAGCGGUGAAAUGCUUAGAUAUCACAAAGAACUCCGAUUGCGAAGGCAGCUUACUGGAUUGUAACUGACGCUGAUGCUCGAAAGUGUGGGUAUCAAAAAGGAUUAGAUACCCUGGUAGUCCACACAGUA